Molecule: ribosomal RNA, 399 nt
Filed under: uncultured Pseudomonas sp.
Lineage: Bacteria; Pseudomonadati; Pseudomonadota; Gammaproteobacteria; Pseudomonadales; Pseudomonadaceae
Description: bacterial SSU rRNA
Rfam family: Bacterial small subunit ribosomal RNA
Source: RNAcentral
GACAUGCAGAGAACUUCCAGAGAUGGAUUGGUGCCUUCGGGAACUCUGACACAGGUGCUGCAUGGCUGUCGUCAGCUCGUGUCGUGAGAUCGUUGGUUAAGUCCCGUAACGAGCGCAACCCUUGUCCUUAGUUACCAGCACGUUAUGGUGGGCACUCUAAGGAGACUGCCGGUGACAAACCGGAGGAAGGUGGGGAUGACGUCAAGUCAUCAUGGCCCUUACGGCCUGGGCUACACACGUGCUACAAUGGUCGGUACAAAGGGUUGCCAAGCCGCGAGGUGGAGCUAAUCCCAUAAAACCGAUCGUAGUCCGGAUCGCAGUCUGCAACUCGACUGCGUGAAGUCGGAAUCGCUAGUAAUCGUGAAUCAGAAUGUCACGGUGAAUACGUUCCCGGGCCUU